AUAAUUGCAAUAUUCAAUGUAUCAAUGUUGCAAUGUUUCGCAACUCUGCAUAUACAAACAGUAUAAAUACCGCAGUAGAACAGCAUCCAAACAUU
Long non-coding RNA from Rhagoletis zephyria (snowberry fruit fly), 95 nucleotides. RefSeq lists it as uncharacterized. NCBI's taxonomy places the organism in Eukaryota, Metazoa, Arthropoda, Insecta, Diptera, Tephritidae. The record is from RefSeq and is a predicted model, not a curated record.